UAACGCGUGGGAAUCUGCCCUGGAGUGGGGAAUAACGACGGGAAACUGUCGCUAAUACCGCAUACGCCCUUAGGGGGAAAGAUUUAUCGCUGAUAGAUGAGCCCGCGUACGAUUAGCUAGUUGGUGAGGUAAUGGCUCACCAAGGGUACGAUCGUUAGCUGGUCUGAGAGGAUGAUCAGCCACACUGGGACUGAGACACGGCCCAGACUCCUACGGGAGGCAGCAGUGGGGAAUAUUGGACAAUGGGCGAAAGCCUGAUCCAGCAAUGCCGCAUAAGUGAUGAAGGCCUUAGGGUUGU
Molecule: ribosomal RNA, 298 nt
Filed under: uncultured Sphingomonadaceae bacterium
Lineage: Bacteria; Pseudomonadati; Pseudomonadota; Alphaproteobacteria; Sphingomonadales; Sphingomonadaceae
Description: partial 16S ribosomal RNA
Rfam family: Bacterial small subunit ribosomal RNA
Source: RNAcentral